UGGGGAAUAUUGCACAAUGGGCGCAAGCCUGAUGCAGCCAUGCCGCGUGUAUGAAGAAGGCCUUCGGGUUGUAAAGUACUUUCAGCGGGGAGGAAGGCGAUAAGGUUAAUAACCUUGUCGAUUGACGUUACCCGCAGAAGAAGCACCGGCUAACUCCGUGCCAGCAGCCGCGGUAAUACGGAGGGUGCAAGCGUUAAUCGGAAUUACUGGGCGUAAAGCGCACGCAGGCGGUCUGUCAAGUCGGAUGUGAAAUCCCCGGGCUCAACCUGGGAACUGCAUUCGAAACUGGCAGGCUAGAGUCUUGUAGAGGGGGGUAGAAUUCCAGGUGUAGCGGUGAAAUGCGUGGAGAUCUGGAGGAAUACCGGUGGCGAAGGCGGCCCCCUGGACAAAGACUGACGCUCAGGUGCGAAAGCGUGGGGAGCAAACA
RNAcentral lists this ribosomal RNA (427 nucleotides) under uncultured bacterium. Its description in RNAcentral is "partial 16S ribosomal RNA". It matches the Rfam family "Bacterial small subunit ribosomal RNA", at positions 355 to 774 of the family's 1533-position model. The record is from RNAcentral.